Molecule: ribosomal RNA, 353 nt
Filed under: uncultured bacterium
Lineage: Bacteria
Description: partial 16S ribosomal RNA
Rfam family: Bacterial small subunit ribosomal RNA
Source: RNAcentral
CCUACGGGGGGCAGCAGUGGGGAAUAUUGCACAAUGGGGGAAACCCUGAUGCAGCGACGCCGCGGGAGUGAAGACUUAAUUCGGUAUUGUAAACCCUAUCAGCAGGGAAGAAAAUGACGGUACCUGAGUAAGAAGCCACAGCUACCGACGAGACAGCAGCCGCCGUAAUACGUAGGGGUCAAGCGUUCUCCGGGUUUACUGGGGUGAUAGGGAGCGUUGACGGGAGGGCAAGGCUGGAGGGAAAGGCGGGGGCUCAACCCUCGGACUGCCCUGGAAACUGUACUGCUGGAGUGGAGGAGAGGUAUGGGGAAUUCCUGGUGUAGCGGUGAAAUGCGUAGAUAUGACGAAGAACA